CAGAUGUGAAAGACCCGGGGCGUCAACCUCGGAACUGCAUUUGAAACUGGCAGACUAGAGUACUGUAGAGGGGGGUAGGAAUUUCAGGUGUAGCGGUGAAAUGCGUAGAGAUCUGAAGGAAUACCGGUGGCGAAGGCGGCCCCCUCGGACAGAUACUGACACUCAGAUGCGAAAGCGUGGGGAGCAAACAGGAUUAGAUACCCUGGUAG
Molecule: ribosomal RNA, 209 nt
Filed under: uncultured bacterium
Lineage: Bacteria
Description: partial 16S ribosomal RNA
Rfam family: Bacterial small subunit ribosomal RNA
Source: RNAcentral